AGAGUUUGAUCCUGGCUCAGAUUGAACGCUGGCGGCAGGCCUAACACAUGCAAGUCGAACGCUGUAGCAAUACAGAGUGGCAGACGGGUGAGUAACGCGUGGGAACCUUCCCAGUGGUGCGGAAUAGCUCAGGGGAAACUUGAGGUAAUACCGCAUAAGCCCUUAGGGGGAAAGAUUUAUCGCCAUUGGAUGGGCCCGCGUCGGAUUAGCUAGUUGGUGAGGUAAUGGCUCACCAAGGCAACGAUCCGUAGCUGGUUUGAGAGAAUGACCAGCCACACUGGGACUGAGACACGGCCCAGACUCCUACGGGAGGCAGCAGUGGGGAAUCUUGGACAAUGGGCGCAAGCCUGAUCCAGCCAUGCCGCGUGAGUGACGAAGGCCUUAGGGUUGUAAAGCUCUUUUGCCGGGGACGAUAAUGACGGUACCCGGAGAAUAAGUCCCGGCUAACUUCGUGCCAGCAGCCGCGGUAAUAUCAAGGGGACUAGCGUUGUUCGGAAUUACUGGGNCGUAAAGCGCACGUAGGCGGAUUUGUUAGUCAGGGGUGAAAUCCCGGGGGCUCAACCUCNGAACUGCCUUUGAUACUGCAAGUCUCGAGUCCGAUAGAGGUGGGUGGAAUUCCCGGUGNUAGCGGUGAAAUGCGUAGAUAUCGGGGAGGNACACCU
This 662-nucleotide ribosomal RNA is filed under the name uncultured bacterium. RNAcentral describes it as "bacterial SSU rRNA". It matches the Rfam family "Bacterial small subunit ribosomal RNA", at positions 8 to 711 of the family's 1533-position model. The record is from RNAcentral.